UAAUAAGUGUUUUAUGGCACUUUUUAAAUCCAUAUCCACCUUGUGUGCAAUGUCAGUCGAUCUUCUUCAUGGAGAUCGACCAAACAUCAACCUUUAUCUUUUAACAUCUUUGUCUGAAAAAUAUUAUGAAUAAACAAUUCAAAAUA
Molecule: unclassified non-coding RNA, 146 nt
Filed under: soil metagenome
Description: partial internal transcribed spacer 1
Source: RNAcentral